This is a long non-coding RNA of Vidua macroura (Pin-tailed whydah), 329 nucleotides long. RefSeq lists it as uncharacterized. The record is from RefSeq and is a predicted model, not a curated record. The transcript has 3 exons. Lineage: Eukaryota; Metazoa; Chordata; Aves; Passeriformes; Viduidae.
AGUGUCCAAGUGGGGCAGGAUCCAGGCGCUGUGGGAUGCCUCAAGUGGAGCUUUAAGCCAGCAAAGGACUUGAAUCAUGGUGUUCACCUCAGGACAAGUUUGGUAUUCACAGAGCGGCGUCAGCCCUGCACAGAGCCCGGGUGGUGCUGAGUGCUGGGGAAAUCCUGCAGACCUGCUGCUUAAACCACACUGAUAAAGUCUCCAGGCCUCUUCCUUGGGGAGGAAGCGUUUCUCCUGUGUGACACAAUACCCCAGCUGGUGUUUGCACUGAGACCAAAGUGUGGAUCUGGACUCCUUGGAGACUGAAAUGAGGGAAUUUAUCAGCAGAU